This 510-nucleotide ribosomal RNA is filed under the name uncultured bacterium. RNAcentral's name for it is "partial 16S ribosomal RNA". It matches the Rfam family "Bacterial small subunit ribosomal RNA", at positions 28 to 507 of the family's 1533-position model. The record is from RNAcentral.
GACGAACGCUGGCGGCGUGCUUAACACAUGCAAGUCGAACGAAGAGCGAUGGAAGCUUGCUUCUAUCAAUCUUAGUGGCGAACGGGUGAGUAACGCGUAAUCAACCUGCCCUUCAGAGGGGGACAACAGUUGGAAACGACUGCUAAUACCGCAUACGAUCUAAUCUCGGCAUCGAGGAUAGAUGAAAGGUGGCCUCUACAUGUAAGCUAUCACUGAAGGAGGGGAGUGCGUCUGAUUAGCUAGUUGGAGGGGUAACGGCCCACCAAGGCGAUGAUCAGUAGCCGGUCUGAGAGGAUGAACGGCCACAUUGGGACUGAGACAAGGCCCAGACUCCUACGGGAGGCAGCAGUGGGGAAUCUUCCGCAAUGGAUGAAAGUCUGACGGAGCAACGCCGCGUGAGUGAUGACGGCCUUCGGGUUGUAAAGCUCUGUUAAUCGGGACGAAAGGCCUUCUUGCGAAUAGUGAGAAGGAUUGACGGUACCGGAAUAGAAAGCCACGGCUAACUACGUG